This 699-nucleotide ribosomal RNA is filed under the name uncultured Glomerales. RNAcentral describes it as "LSU rRNA". It matches the Rfam family "Eukaryotic large subunit ribosomal RNA", at positions 38 to 633 of the family's 3401-position model. Lineage: Eukaryota; Fungi; Glomeromycota; Glomeromycetes; Glomerales; Glomeraceae. The record is from RNAcentral.
GCAUAUCAAUAAGCGGAGGAAAAGAAACUAACAAGGAUUCCCUUAGUAACGGCGAGUGAAGAGGGAAGAGCUCAAAUUUUAAAUCUAUCAUGUUUGUACAUGAUCGAGUUGUAAUUUGAAGAAGCGUUUUCUCGUACUUUAUGCAAUCAGUAUAAGUUCUCUUGGAACAGGACAUCAUAGAGGGUGAUAAUCCCGUCUGUUACUGGUUGUGAGGUUCGUUAUGAUACGCUUUCAAAGAGUCGAGUUGUUUGGGAUUGCAGCUCCAAAUGGGUGGUAAACAUCACCUAAGGCUAAAUAUUUGCGAGAGACCGAUAGCGAACAAGUACCGUGAGGGAAAGAUGAAAAGAACUUUGAAAAGAGAGUUAAAAAGUAUGUGAAAUUGUUGAAAGGGAAACGAUUGAAGUCAGUCGUGCAGUCAUCAAUUCAGCGGUUAACAUUUUAUGUUUCCGUGUAAUUUGGUGUCUGUUGGUUAGCAUCAAUUUUGAUUGUUAUAAAAAGGUUAAGGGGAUGUGGCUCCUUCGGGAGUGUUAUAACCCUUAGCGUAAUGUGACGAUUAGGAUUGAGGUUUGCAACGAAUACCUUUUAGGGCAGUUUCACCUGGCCUCUCGUGGAAUUAUAGAUAGUUAAGAGCAUGCUCUUACUGUCUAUGAUUCUACGAAAAGGUUAGUGUAAAACUAAUUCGUUAAGGAUGUUGACGUA